Molecule: non-coding RNA, 65 nt
Organism: Podarcis lilfordi (Lilford's wall lizard)
Lineage: Eukaryota; Metazoa; Chordata; Lepidosauria; Squamata; Lacertidae
Source: the annotation of a GenBank genome assembly
GGCCUAUAGCUCAGUGGCAGAGCUCUGCAUGCAAAAGGUCCCAAGUUCAAUCCCUGGCAUCUCCA